CUGUCUGCUGCGCACCCAGCCACGGGGAGCUCCCGAGGGCUGAGCCUUUAUCUGAGUCACCUAAGUCACUGUCAUUCCUACUGAUAAGCAUCCCUCAGUGCCAGGCCCUGUGCUAAGCUUACCUUUAUUUCUCAUUCCUUCUUUCUUCCACGUAAACCAUGUUUAUUGAGCACCUACUAUAUACCAGUGACCAAGGUAACAGCAGGGGACAGAACUGGCAAAAAACAAACAAACAAAAAAACCCUGUUGUCCAGGGAGCUCACAUUCUCUUGGGGGAGAAAAGGAAAAAAAUAAUCAAACAUGUAUGUAUAUAGUGGGUCACAAGAUCUAAAUGCUUUUUUUUUUUUUUUUUGAGAUGGAAUCUUGCUCUGUCACCCAGGCUGGAGUGCAGGUGGUGCUAUCUUGAAUCACUGCAACCUCUGCCUCCCAGGUUCAAGCAAUUCUCCUGCCUCAGCUUCCCAAGUAGCUGGGAUUACAGGUGUGCAUGACCACACCCAGCUAAAUUUGUAUUUUUACUAGAGACGGGGUUUCACCAUGUUGGCCAGCCCGAUGACCUCCGGUUGGUCUUGAUCUCCUUGACCUCAGGUGACCCGCCCACCUUGGCCUCCCAAAGUGCUGGGAUUAUAGGCAUGAACCAUCGCUCCCAGCCCUCAGUGUCUUGAAGGAAUAUAAAGCAGAGAAGGGAGAUGGGAGGUGUAUGGAGGGUAAAGCUGUUUUAUUUUAUUAUUAAUUAUUACUUUUUUAAGAAUUUAUUUAAUUUUUUUUUUACUUUUGAGACAGGAUAUCACUCUGUCAUCCAGGCUGGCGUGCAGUGGUGCGAUCUUGGCUCAUUGCAGCCUCAACUUCCCGGACUCCAGCGAUUUUCCCACCUCAGCCUCCUGAGUAGCUGGACCACAGGUGCACAUCACCACGCCCAGCUAAUUGUAUUUUUGCUAGAGACGGAGUUUCACCAUGUUGGCCAGGCUGGUCUCAAACUCCUGACUUCAAGUGAUCCUCCCACCUCGGCCUCCCAAAGUGCUGGGGUUGCAGGUAUAAGCCACAGUGCCCAGCCUUAGGUUUUAAUUUUUGUUGGGUCCAUAGUAAGUGUAUGUAUUUAUGGGGUACAUGAGAUAUUUUGAUACAGGCAUGGGGUAUCCAUCCCCUCAAGCAUUUAUCCUUUGUGUUACAACCCAAUUACACUCUUUUGGUUAUUUAAAAAUGUACAAUUAUUAUUGAGAAUAGUCAUCUUGUUGUGUGAUCAAAUAGUAGGUCUUAUUCAUUCUUUUUUUUUUAGCCCAUUAACAAAACCGAGGCUGGGUGCAGUGGCUCACGCCUGUAAUCCCAGCAUUUUGGAAGGCCGAGGCGGGCGGAUCAUUUGAGAUCAGGAGUUCGAGACCAGCAUGGCCAACAUGGUGAAACCCUGUCUCUGCUAAAAAUAUAAAAAUUAGUCAGGUGUGGUGGCGGGUGCCUGUAAUCCCAGAUACUCAGGAGGCUGAGGCAGGAGAAUUGCUUGAACCCAGGAGGCAGAGUUUGCAGUGAGCCGGUAUCUCACCCUUACAUUCCAGCAUGGGCGAAAAAGCAAGACUCCGUCUCAAAAAACAAAAACAAAAACAAAAAAAGCCCAUCCCCUGCAGCCUCCCAGCACCCUUCCCAGCCUCUGGUCACCAUCCUUCUAACUCGCCGUGUCCAUGACAUCGUUUUGAUUUUUAGCUCCCACAAAUGAGUGAGACCAUGCGAGGUUUGUCUUUCUGUGCCUGGCUUAUUUCACCGAACCUGAUGACCUCCGGUUAGGUGGAGCUGUUUUAAACAAGAGGGUCAGGGAGGGUGGCACUGAGCAAAGGCCUGAGGGGGGGAUAAAGGGAGUCAUACAGAUCCCUGGGGGAACAGUGUCCCCGGCAGAGGGAACUGCCAGUGCAAAAGUGGGUGGGGAGUCCAAUGCAGAGGCCAGUGUGGCUGCAGCAGAGUGGGCGAGGGGGGUGAUUGGAGGGGGUGAGGACACAGGGGUGACAGGGGCAGAUCGUCUGGGGCCUCGUGGACCUGAGACGGAGCCACAGGAGGGCUCUGAGCAGGGGCGGAUGUGAUCUGAUGCAGGUGUUCACAGGUGCCUUUGGUUGUGUGUGGGGAACAGACUCCCGGGAAAAGGAGGGAGCAGGAAGUCCAAGGAGUCUGUAGGAAAUGAGUGUAGACAGGACCAGGGUGGGGGCUUUGGGGGUGCCAAAAGCGUAGAGAGUCUAGAUCGAGCUGGGCGCAGUGGCUCACACCUGUAAUUCUAGCACUUUGAGAGACCAAGGCAGGUGGAUCACCUGAAGUCAUGAGUUUGAGACCAGCCUGGCCAACACUGUGAAACCCCAUGUUUACUAAAAAUACAAAAAUUAGCCAGGUGUGGUGGCAGGCUCCUGUAAUCCCAGCUACUUGGGAGGCUGAGGCAGGAGAAUUGCUUGAACCCAGGAGGCAGAGUUUGCAGUGAGCCGAGAUCACACCACUGCACUCCAGCCUGGGCGAGAAGAGUGAAACUCCAUGUCAAAAAAAAAAAGAGUCUAGAUCGAUUUCGAAGGCAAGGCAAACAGGAUUUUCCAGAUACUUGGAUGUGGAGCAUGAGAAAAAGAGGAAUCAAUAUCGAUCCCAAGGCUUUCAAUCUCAUUUAACCCCAAGGCAGCCUCACAGAGUAUUAUCAUUCUUGGGUUAUAGAUGAAGAAACAGAGAUUCAGAGAGGGUUGCCGACUUGCCCAUGGUCACACAGGAAUUGGUGGGGCUGGGAUUUGAACCAGUUUCUGUUUGACUCCAGUGUCUGACCUCUGCCCUCUGUGGAGGUUGCCACCUCCCGGCAUGUCCACAGCCUCACCCAGCCCGGGACAGGGCAUGCCAGACCCACACAGGGCACCAGUUCAGUCGGCGGCCACAGCACUCCAUGACCGUCCAGCUUGUGACCUCACCGUCUUGGCCCGGCCCGCCACGGGAUUCUCUUACUGCUCAUCACCUGUGUUGAGUAACCGUGUUUCCCUGCCUGCCUGCGAGCUCCCAGAGGGCAUGACUGUAGCUGAUUCAUCGCUGUCCCUGGCAUUGCCCGGCUGGAGCCUGGCAUGUGGUGGCCUUCAUUAAGGCAAUCAAUAUUUAUUAAGUAUCUAUCUUGUGCUGGGCAAUGCUGGGACGCAGCUCUGGGCCCCAUCCCUCUGAGGUUGAAGUCCAGUGGGGGAGUCAGAGAGACCCAUCCCCAAACGGUGAUGGCCUAGAAUGCGCAGGACUGGAACUAGCGGGGAGCCCAGAGUCCCCAAUCCAGCCCAAGAAGGGGCCUGGGAGGAUUUGGCAGAGGCGUUGAACUCAUGGUCACCACCCUCACAGACUUAGCUUUACGGGUGUAAACAGCCAAUGAACAAGUUAACCAAUCAAGGAAAGAAUUGCAGAUCGAAGUAAAACGGGGGUGGGGCAGGCAGCAACACAGGCUACUUUAGCUGGGGUCAGCAGGGAAGGCCUCUGAGGAGGGGACACCGAGUCUGAGACCUGAGGUUGAGAAGGCGCCAGCCUGGGAUGAGCUGGGGAGAGGGCACACAGGGGGCAGACAGCCAGCGCCCAGGCCCCGCAGUGAGAAAGAGCUGGCUGUGUUCCAGGAACGGCAAGGAGUCCUGCGUGCCUUGGGCCAAGUGAGGGGCGG
Molecule: long non-coding RNA, 3628 nt
Filed under: Homo sapiens (human)
Lineage: Eukaryota; Metazoa; Chordata; Mammalia; Primates; Hominidae
Description: HSALNT0259681
Source: RNAcentral